GACGAACGCUGGCGGCGUGCCUAAUACAUGCAAGUCGAACGCUUUUUCUUUCACCGGAGCUUGCUCCAUCGAAAGAAAAAGAGUGGCGAACGGGUGAGUAACCCGUGGGUAACCUGCCAAGCAGAAGGGGAUAACACUUGGAAACAGGUGCUAAUACCGUAUAACACUAUUUUCCGCAUGGAAGAAAGUUGAAAGGCGCUUUUGCGUCACUGAUGUAUGGACCCGCGGUGCAUUAGCUAGUUGGUGAGGUAACGGCUCACCAAGGCAACGAUGCAUAGCCGACCUGAGAGGGUGAUCGGACACACUGGGACUGAGACACGGCCCAGACUCCUACGGGAGGCAGCAGUAGGGAAUCUUCGGCAAUGGACGAAAGUCUGACCGAGCAACGCCGCGUGAGUGAAGAAGGUUUUCGGAUCGUAAAACUCUGUUGUUAGAGAAGAACAAGGAUGAGAGUAAAAUGUUCAUCCCUUGACGGUAUCUAACCAGAAAGCCACGGCUAACUACGUGCCAGCCGCCGCAGUAA
Molecule: ribosomal RNA, 523 nt
Filed under: uncultured bacterium
Lineage: Bacteria
Description: partial 16S ribosomal RNA
Rfam family: Bacterial small subunit ribosomal RNA
Source: RNAcentral